Molecule: ribosomal RNA, 459 nt
Filed under: uncultured microorganism
Description: bacterial SSU rRNA
Rfam family: Bacterial small subunit ribosomal RNA
Source: RNAcentral
GAGUUUGAUCUUGGCUCAGGAUGAACGCUGGCGGCGUGCCUAACACAUGCAAGUCGAACGGGAACCCUUGGAUUCGUCUGGGGGGGAGAGUGGCAAACGGGUGAGUAACACGUUGGUGACCUGCCCCAAAGAGGGGAAUAACCACUGGAAACGGUGGCUAAUACCCCAUGUGGUCUGUCGGUCGGACGGCAGAUUAAAGCGCCCCAUUAGGGGUUGCGCUUUGGGAGGGGCCUGCGGCCCAUCAGGUAGUUGGUAGGGUAAUGGCCUACAAGCGAUGACGGGUAGGGGGCGUGAGAGCGUGAUCCCCCACACUGGCACUGAGACACGGGCCAGACUCCUACGGGAGGCAGCAGUGAGGAAUAUUGCCCAAUGGACGCAAGUCUGAGGCAGCAACGCCGCGUGGGUGAUGAAGGCCUUGGUUGUAAAACCCUUUUCUGGGGACGAGAAAGGACGGUACCU